Molecule: ribosomal RNA, 253 nt
Filed under: uncultured bacterium
Lineage: Bacteria
Description: partial 16S ribosomal RNA
Rfam family: Bacterial small subunit ribosomal RNA
Source: RNAcentral
UACGUAGGUGGCAAGCGUUGUCCGGAUUUACUGGGUGUAAAGGGCGUGCAGCCGGAGAGACAAGUGAGAUGUGAAAUCCACGGGCUCAACCCGUGAACUGCAUUUGAAACUGUUUCCCUUGAGUGUCGGAGAGGUAAUCGGAAUUCCUUGUGUAGCGGUGAAAUGCGUAGAUAUAAGGAAGAACACCAGUGGCGAAGGCGGAUUACUGGACGAUAACUGACGGUGAGGCGCGAAAGCGUGGGGAGCAAACAGG